This is a long non-coding RNA of Contarinia nasturtii (swede midge), 352 nucleotides long. RefSeq lists it as uncharacterized. NCBI's taxonomy places the organism in Eukaryota, Metazoa, Arthropoda, Insecta, Diptera, Cecidomyiidae. The transcript is spliced from 3 exons. The record is from RefSeq and is a predicted model, not a curated record.
UAAUAUAGAACAAACUAACUCAUUUUUUCAUUUUCUUUACAGGAUAUCGCUGACACUUUCGAAGGAAAUUUCAAAGAGCAAAAUGGGCUUAAUUCAAACUGGUUGCCAGUUAAUAGCGCUCAGAUACCAGAUCCUCGACCUGGAUCAUGCCAUAAUGACUCAAGAACACUGCCUGAUGCAACUCUGAAUUUCAUAAAAACACAUUCACUUAUGGACGAAAAUGUUCCGGCAUUUUUCGGACAACCAAUUUUAAUUCGAACAAGCACAAUAUACCGAUUUACACAAAUUGCUGUUGACCCACAAAUAAAAACGCCAGGAGGAAAAACUUAUGACGUCAUAUUUGUGGGAACGG